AUUCUUAUGAAGAAGCCAAAAAAUGGGUCGAUUCGUGGAUAACCUCAAAGGAUGAGUUGUUCUUUCGACAUGGUAUUCGUAUGCUGCCAGAAAAAUGGGAGCAGAGUUGUAAAAAUAUUAAUUAACUUCUCCUCAAUUUAAUAAUUGAUUUGAGGAAAUAAUUUCUAAUUUAAUUGAUUGACGAUUAAUAUAAGCCCAUUCAAUUAAAAAGAUUUUAAUUGACCAUUUAUUUGAACAAAUCUAGUUAAAAAUUAUUCAAUUAACGAUUGAUUUGAAGGAAUUCAAUCAAUAACCAUUGAAUCAACGAUUAAAACUAACAAAAGUAAUUAAAGAUUGUUCGAUUAACGAUUGAACAUAGUCAAUAUAAUUAAAGGCUAUUUAAUUGACAAUUGGUAUAAGCAAAUUUAAUUGAAAAGCGCAGUAAGACAAUUGACUAAUCUGUCAAUUCAAUGUUUACAUUACUCAUAGCAACUAACCGAGCUGAAUAUAACGUGAUACACAAGAAGUUUAAAAAACUUAGAUCCUUUGUUUCGGUCACAAAAGUAUUUUUUAAACAUUAUAUGAAAGAAAAAAUGUCGACGCAGAACUCCAUUGGACAAACUAAUAAUGAACAAAUCGAUUUGUUAACGGAUAAUUGUGCAGAGGAAACACCAUUAAAUUUACGGAUUGCGUGUAAUAAAACUCCGUAUUUAGACGGUACAUUUUUUGACGUGGGUUUCGGGAAAUCGUCUCAAGAUGGAUCUGCAGUGUAUGCCGCGUGUACUAAUUGCACGCCUAAGCAACUUAUUAAAGGGAGUUUAAAAGUAUCUUCUAAUUACAUAACACAUUUGAAGAGAAAACAUCCUGAUUUAUGCUCCGAAUAUUUAACUUAUAAAAACGAUAAACGAAAGUUGGCGGAAAGAUCAAACGUAAAUCGUAGAGCAACAUGAGCUUUUUCACAAGAACUGUUUGAAAAAAAUGUCACUGCUUAUAUAUUACAGAGCAUGUCACCAUUCAGCACUGUUGAGUUUCCAGCAUUUAGACAAAUAUUUAACAGUAAAUAACAGACAAAUAUUUAAGAGGUUUCAAAAUAAAAUAUGAUGAAGGAACUUUAAAACAUCUUACUCGAUACACUUUAACUAAAAGAAUUGACGCUCUUUAUAACGAGCAUAUAGAAGUCAUAAAAAACCACUUAAAAAAUACCAAACACGUUUGUACUACAACAGAUGUGUGGACUGUGCCCGAUCGUAGAGUUCUCGGCGUUACGACUCACUGGCUCUGUGACAAAAUUUUGGAGAGAAAAUCUGCUGUUAUAGCAUGCAAAACAAUAAAAGGUACUCAUUCAGCUGAAGCUAUUGCUGCCAAAUUAGCCAGAAUAUAUGCAUUUUUUGGAUUGUCUGAAGAAAAAAUAGUAGCUACAGUUACUGACAAUGGGUCUAAUUUUAUAAAAAGAUUCCGAAUGUUUGGCUUAAGCAGUAAUGCCAUUUCAAGAAAUGAAAGCCCAAGUACAAAUUAUCUUGACACAGAAAUGGAAAUAAACGACUUAUCUGAAACGAA
RNAcentral lists this unclassified non-coding RNA (1536 nucleotides) under Harpegnathos saltator (Jerdon's jumping ant). RNAcentral describes it as "uncharacterized LOC105184246, transcript variant X3". Lineage: Eukaryota; Metazoa; Arthropoda; Insecta; Hymenoptera; Formicidae. The record is from RNAcentral.